UGAGGAAAAUGCUUCUUUCCUGGAUGCUGAGAGAUGGCAGUGAGUGGGACUCUCACCCCUGGAGGUGUCUGUGAGCUGCAUUUACAGGCAUUGCAGUGCCUCAUGGCCCAGCUGUCUCCUCUGGAUCUCUGGUGACCCAGCACAGGCACGGCAGACCUGCCAGGUGACAACCAUGGAGCACAGCUGGAGGUGAAGGCUAAGAAAGGGAAGCUGCCAGAAGAAUCAAGCACCGGAGGAAUGGCAGAAGAGGCCAGAGAAGCAAUAAAAACCUUACUCCAUUGCCACAUGGACUGCAAACAUGGAAGAAAUGUCAUGACUGGGCCAGCAAGUUUGUCACUGGCCACAGCACAGAAACCACCUGUAAGUGCCAGGUAAGGAACAACCUCUCUUGGGGUGUUUUCUCUCACUUCUGUCCUGACUGCACAAAGGAGCAGUGUGCUCUUCUGAGCCAGGCAGAGCUGUGAGGCCUGCCCAGCUCUCCCAACAGCCUGAGCCCAUCUUCCCAGCCCCAGCCCAGACACAGCAGGGCAGAGGUGACGCUCUGCAGUCAAACCUGGAGGCACUGACCAGCAGUGCCCAGCCAGAUCUGUCACUGCUCUGGCAUGGACAGAGCCAUGGCCCCACAGAAGGGUGACUUUUCAAGCGCCCAUGAUUAGGCUGGCAGGAAUUUCAAUUGGUUUACAUCUUUAACCUUUAGUCCUGCACAAAAUUCCUACCACAGAUGAAAAGGUUUUCUAACCUAAUCAUCGGUUUCUACCCUCGUUUGCAUUUUUUGCCAUGGGCUGAACAUGUCUUUCUUUGUGGUCUUGAUGUCACUUGUGUUCAUGGUUUCUGCUCCGUGGUGCACGAUUCCGUUUGGGAGCCCCUCCUGGAGACCAUCAUAGUUUCCCUCAAAUCCAGGCUUGUAUUUCUUGAUGUUGGAAAGUGUUUCCUAGUUUGCUUCUGAAAAAUACUGCACAAAAUGUCUGCUUUCUGUGAAAUCUGAAGCUCCUCUAAAUUAGCAAUUCUGAGCUGCUGAAAAAAAUGCACAUAAGCGACACAGCUUCAAAUUUGUCUGUUCUGCUGCUGCAUUUAAAAAGUACUCAAGCAAAGCUGAUUAGGGCAAUACCUUUAAAGUUUCAUCAAGACACCUCAGUAUGGCCUAAGUGGGUGUUUCAGACAGAGACAGCUUCCUGGACUGUAGUUAGGAACUGCUCUGCACGUUCCAUAUAGGCUCACUUGACUACAGAACCUGCCAUAAGGAUGUGCCCAUAAGGAUGCACAUUCUUCAUUCUGUUUUAAUUAACAUGAUGCUAUCAUGUCUCUUCAAAGACAGGCUCUGUUGUCGCUGCGAGUCCCUCUGGGAUCAAGCCUCUCCUCAGCGUCACCAUUGUCAGCGCAUUUGGCUGGCCCACACUUGGGGGACUUAUGUUUCACUGUAAUUCCUUCCAAAACACGCAGAAAAGGCUCUCACUCUCUCUUUCUCAUUAGCUUGAUGGAAAGAGCAUGUCUUGAGGCAGCUAUUUAAAGUUCCAGUCAAAUGGAACUACUGAAAGCUGUUCUUUCAGAGGCAAGGUCAGAAUUGUUCGAUAUGGUAACGAAUUUUCCAAGGCUUAUGCCAGUGGGAAGACAAGCACACAUUAUGGCCUUGUAUUUUCUGUGCACUUUCAAGUCUUUGUUUCCAUGCUUGCAGCCUCAGAGAGCUUGUGCUUGCGGGAACUGCCAUCUCCAAAUCAU
This is a long non-coding RNA of Oenanthe melanoleuca, 1716 nucleotides long. RefSeq lists it as uncharacterized. Lineage: Eukaryota; Metazoa; Chordata; Aves; Passeriformes; Muscicapidae. The record is from RefSeq and is a predicted model, not a curated record. The transcript is spliced from 3 exons.